Molecule: long non-coding RNA, 9484 nt
Organism: Gallus gallus (chicken)
Lineage: Eukaryota; Metazoa; Chordata; Aves; Galliformes; Phasianidae
Source: Ensembl
UUUAAGUUCACAGGAUGGCCCGCAGGAGCAACAUCACUCAAACACGCUUAUGAGGAAACAUCAUGACACCCUGUGACGCACUGCUGAACUUUUGGGGACUGGAGAGCAUGAAUCAGAAGCGCUACUGGUCCUUGAAAAAGAUACGCCUCGAGAAAGAACAUCAAGUACUGGCCCAACAGAACCGUGAAGGGGACUGCCACUGAUUGCCUUUAUUGUUUUGACAUCCUAUAUUGCGGCGGGUGUUGUGUAUGCGUCGCGAUGCGCAUUGUGUCUUGGGCCACCAGGUUGCAGGGGCUCACCCCCUACCUGCUCAGUCAUUGGUUCAUGCUGUGAAGGGGUGGAGUGUAGUGGAAUUCCAGGGUCACAGCCUGAACCAAUGGGUGGGCUCUGUGAGUGUGUGAGUGCGGCGGCGCGGCGGUACGAACGGGGGAGGGACACAUUCCUCAGCUCGGCUCGGUCUGCGCGCUGCUACCGGGAGGGGUGAGUCGAUUCUUUUUGAUAUCUUUCCCUCGUAUGCCUAUUUCUUAAAUAAAGGCUUUGUCAUCACCUUCAUUUGCCCUACACCAGGCUUUUAGACCCUCAUGCAGGUGAUGCUCUGAAUGGGUUUCUACUUAACUUUCUUGAGUAUGAGUGGGUUUUUGAUUAUGACAGGCAGGAGGGUUAGUGGUAGAGGCAGCAAAAGCAAGCAGGGAGCACUAAUUAGCAUACAGUAACAAAUAUUCUGUUCUUAAUGAGUUAUAACGUGAUUCCUGUUGGAGAUAAGAGAAUAAUCUGAGCUUUCCCUUCAAUAACAGUGAUCUCUCUGCGGAGCUCAGAUGCUAUGAUCACCUAAAGGGCAGACUAAUCCACACUGGAAAUAGGACACAUCCAGCUGUCACUUCUACAUGCAGUGUAAUCCACGGUCUUCUACAGCCCAAGGAAAUUAAUGUGCUGUAGCAAGACUAUGAUGUGCUGCUUUCCCGGCAGUGAGAUGCAAAGGAAGAGUGGGGGAAAUAUUCAUUUCAGUGGGAGGAGGAGGAGGCGCUUCCAUUAACUCCGUCUCAUAUUGCCAACACUGAGGAGAAAUUCCUUAAUUUUAUUUUAUAACUUCACUAAAUCAUGUGGGAGCAUCAGGCUUUGAAUAAAGAAAAGCACGGAGGAAGAGAGUGACUCAGAGGGUGAUCUGUCUUACUGAAAGCAGAGUUAAGCUCUGUGCACUUACUGUUCCUGAGACUGUUUUCCCACCUCGUAAGGUUUAUCCUUGAAGUCCCGUCUCACUCGCGGCUAUGGAGGAAGCAAAUGUUGUAGUCUGCACAGGAUGUUUGUAGUAUUUCUGGAGGGAUAAAAAUAACGUUCCCAGUUACAAUUAGUUGUCUUAGAGAUAAUUUGGGGUUUGUGUGAUGACGUUUGGCAGAUUCCCGGAGAUGCCGUCUGUUGAUCUACCUGUGCUAUACGCAAUGUUCUCCACGCGUGAUGCCGCUGCGUCGGCUGAGAGAAGUAACGGGUUGGAAAAGAAGCAGUGUUUUUCCUUCCCGUUGUUUGUGAGAAUCCAUGCGUUGAGCUUCACUUUUAAAUUGCUUGAUUCCCUCUUCGUGGCGUUUCCGAGUUGUUGAGGUUCCAGGAAGUACCUAUUAAUAUUGAAAUGCAAAACUGCAACUCCCAUUCUUUCUUACUAAUGGGAAAACAACUGCACUCCUACGUUUAAUUUGUCUGUAAAAACUGCACUACUCAAUUUGACAUCUAAAUUUUCCCUUUCUUACGAGUAAAAAGAGAGGGGGAUUGAAGGGAGAAGGAAGAAGUGGCUAUUUGGGUAGGCCACAGAUCAGUCUGUUGUCGUUAAGAAUGCUUACGCUGCAUCAGAUGUUCUGAGCAUUCCACUCUUAAAAGAAAUCUAUGUAAAAUACUGUGCAAAAUAUUCACAGGGGCAAAUGAAGUGUUCCACGUUGGUGUGUUCUGUUUUGCCACACACUGUGAACUGAAAUGGGGAAGUAUUUUAUACUUGCACUUCUCACACAAACGCUUCCCUUCAGACAAAUUCAAACAAUAUCUAAACUUUAGGAAUGAAUUUCACUUCAGGUGGGAAGCGACUUGCUCUGUCAGAUUCCACGUCUGACCUAGCUGCUGCUCUCCUAUCGUGUAAGAGCUAGGGCAAGAGCGAUAAUUGCAGUGGGGGUGUGAUUCAGAGAAACCAUAAUGAUACUAUGGAACUUAAGGUGUCAUCAGUGGGUUCUUUGUGUACAGCUGCUGGAAAAUAUUGCUGCUCCCCGGGUUAUCCACGUCACAUCCACCUGCUGGAAGUGGCCCUCAGAAGCCCUGGCAGGGACAUUCCCAUCUUGGGUGAGCAUGGGGAGAGGCAAGGGGCGGGGAGGAGGAGGCAGAGUUCCCGUCUGCUGAAGAUACCAUCUUCAACGCCACUUUAAUCUGUUAGUUUUCUGAGGUGCCGUAUUCUAUAGUCUGUAGUCUCUUGUGAAACAGAACUAGAAUGGUCUUGAAGUACUAGAAGAGUGUUUGUGGCUUCUGGACUAGUAAGACUUGCAGAUAGUCCUCUGGACUCAUCAGCUGUCAUAGGUUUGCCUGGAACCCCAAGAUGGAACAUGAUCUACUUUGCUAAAUUAAAUUUUAAGUUGUUUACUGGUAGGGGGAGAAGAACUUACUCAGAAAACAAAUACAUGCCUCCUUUUCCCAAUAUAUACCCCUCUUGUUCUCAUGAGUCCAUAUCUAACUUUCUAGGUUACUUGCGUGUUUUAAGGAUGAGAGUCUGGAAAGAUUCCCAGUUUGCUUCAUUUGAACACCGCUGUAAUUACAGUUUCACUGCUGGCCUUCAGCAGAAUUGAGCAUCUCAUCUCUUGGAAAGGAACACACACAGGAAAACAAACAAAAGUGCUUACCAGCUGGUGCUGGGUGAAUUGCACUGUUUGAAGUUCAAGGAUAUUGAGAAUAGUAUUUGGUAUUUAUGUGGCUGCUCGGCAUGUGACCUUUUAUAAUGCUACUCAUACUUGUAUUCAUAUAUAUAUUUAUAUAUAAACAUAUAUUUAUAUAAAGAUAUAUAAAUGAUAAAUAUAUAUAUUUAUAUAUGCUUGUGUAGCUUCUCUCUUGAUGAAGAAGCUUGGUUUCUCAAAUCUUUCUUGAUCCCUCCAGAUAAAUUUCUUGUUCCCCUUUAGCAAAUGGGAGAUGUAUGAUGACUCUGAGAUGUAUGGUUUGCUUUUCUGCUGCCAGCUCUUGGUUCCCACUACUAGAUAUUCCUACCUCCUAUCUGUUCCUUCUAUUCUCCCCUCCAUCGCCCAGCAAAUGGCUUCAGACAUUGUACGCUGAGGGUACAGAGAAAGCUUUGGUCUCACCCUGUUGUUCUAACUUGGUUAUGUCACAACUUCCUCCAUGAACCACUAGGUCAGUUUGCAACAUGGAAAUGGUGGCUAUGCUGAAAGAAAGCUUUAAAAGUUAGUGUGGGUGAAUACUUCUUCCCCAUAGCUGUGAAGAUGUGGAUCCCUGAUGUCUACUGAACUGGACAGGCAACAGAGUCCCCUUCAGUUUUCUCCAGGAUUUAUCCUCCAAGAGCGUGGCUUUUACUGAGUUGCAUUGCAGGGAGUUAAUUAACUUUGCAAAGCAAACAGCGCCACUAUAAGCUUGUAGGUCUGUGCUGAAAUUUCUGUAGUCUGUCCUUUAUAUGUUCAUGGAGGGCAUUGUGAACUUGCUGAAGAAGCAGCACAGUUUUUGUGAGGGUAUUACUUGCCCUCUUAUCAAAUCUGGAAUAGGCUUAGGUACCUACAGCAGCUCAGAGGAGUUAGGCAACAAGUGUUUUCCUACAGUGAGAAAAGUCUUGCAUUUGAGGGCAAAUAUCUUCCAAUUUGGCUUUGUUCUUUUUCAGAUAUUAAUCAUUUCCAUCAGCUUAAGAUUCAUCAAGGAAGUGAAUGACGAGAUGCCUAAAUAAUGCACAACCUUGGAAGGUCUUGCCACGUGAUUUAUAGAAAUGCUGUAAUAGUGCACGUAUUAUGCUAAGCGUUAGGAAGCUCUGUCAAGCACCCACACUUAACAGGCUGUGUUUCUAUUCCUGUUUUCUUCUGCUCCGUGUAUUUUUCUUUGCUCCGGACAUCCUGGAUGGCAAAUGUACAGGCAUAAAAAAUAAUAAUAAUAAUAAUCUUAUGGUAAUUCUGUCCUAUAAUAUUUGACUUGUAUCCAUGUGCAAAGAACAGCAUCAUUUCAUUUCCAACUUAUUGAUGCUCGCGUAUCUGUUAUCAGAAGUGCUGGAGUUGGAUGUAUGAAGUACCUGGCUGUCAUUUCUGGCUGUUACCUAGGAACAUCACUCAAUUUCCAGUGCUCUCUCUCCCCUUUUGCCCACCGAGUCCCGAGGUAAACUGUUUACAUUAAAAACCUUAACAGUAACCUGCUGGGUUUAUCAGGAUGGGUGGAGCGGAAGCAAGCAUGAAAUACAUUAAUGUAUGCUUAUUUUAUGUCAGCCUCCAACUGCUCGACACAAGGAUUAGGCAUUCUUGAAGGCUGCAGUACUAUAAAUUUCUCAUCUGGCACUUGUAGUUUAUAGGGGCUGAGUGGCUGUGGUGAUCCUCUAUAAACAAUUCAGACAUCUGGAAGAUGAAUUUUAAUGAGUGCUCUCAAAGCUAAGUGCUCACCUCUCUCUUUUACACCUCACAUUCACCCAUUUUUUAUCCUUACAUCAGAGGGCUGGUCUGUUUUUUGGAAUUGUCUAGUCAGGGUGGAUUCUGUCAAACCCAGAGGAAAGGGAAUGUAGCACGACACACAGAGAUGGGGUUCUCACCUGGCCUUGUUUAAGUGAGGCUUUAAGCUCUCAGCCAAAACACCUGGACUUUUUUAGAGGUGGGAUUAGCAUUUUGCAUUGAGGCAUUGUUUCACUUACUUUUGCCCAUGCAAGAGACUUCUGCGUUUCGUGUUUUGUCUGCAAAAUUUCAACCUUGUUCUAGGAAAGGCUCCAAAGUAAACUGGAGCAGCCUCAGGGGCUGUUUGAAAUCGUAGCAGCUGAGGCUGCCUCAGCACUGCAUGCUCCUCCACCCUGUGCCUCUUACACCACUGCUCUGCAAUAAGCUCAGAUCUUCACCUUCCCGGAGAAAACUCUGCUCACUGGUAGGUUUCCCUAGGCUCGGAAAUAGUCCCAUCUGCUUUAAAAUAAGCAGAGAAGGAGAGCCCGCUGGCUUUGCUGGGAAAUGGGCAUUCACCAGUUAUUGUAACUCAGCAUUACUGUUUAUAUUCUGAAGUCUGUAGACUGAUGAAAUAGGAAAAACGUAGCUAAAAUAAUUGUUCCUGGGAAUUGUGCCCGUAGAUGAAAAGUUAACCAUUCCUAAAGCUGCUGAGGACCAUUUCCCUGAACUUCCAGCAUUGUGCAAUUAACCAGACGCCUUCUCUGGGGUUUCCACUUCCCUCAGCUCUAAUAAAUACCAGAUCAUGCCAGAGGCAGCACAGAGAAAUUGAUGGAUUGAUGAAAUGAUCCAGUACCAGCAAAUCUAUAACUGCAAAAAUAGCCAGUUAUUCUUAUCGUUUCCUUGUUCUGACACAAUUUCCUGCCCUCCCACCAAGCUGCCCUGAAGAUUGCCUGGAUGACAGAUCUGCUUUGAAGACAGUUAUACCCUCUGCAAAGCAAUGUACCUCUUCUCUUAGAAAUAGCUGUGUUGAAGAGCAGUGACUGGGAGCAGGGUGAGAAGCUGAGCUGAUGUCAACAGCCUUUGAUCACAUUUGGCAUGUCUCUGGGGUGGGCAGUGCUUGUUCUUAAUGUUUCUGAUUGUACUGCACUGAAGCACAGGAGAUGUUCUUUGCUUGAUGAGUUCUACUGUACCUCCUACAGAUGUGGUGAUGGGCAGCCUGCCUGGAACAGCUCAGAACAGGGAUGUGGAGACCACAGCAGCAAGCCACUCCCAGCUCUGUAUACCAGCUAGUUUGGUGGAUUAAUGAGACAUUGCAACUGCAGCCCUGCUGAUGGAUCUGAGAGCAGUGAUGUCUGGCAUGUAGCGGUGGUGAGCUGAUGGAGUUGGUUACCCCUUUGGCACGUACAGCUGUCCUUGGUGUAGGAAGCAUGACAGCCUUUAAUACUACCAUAAAGACCUUUUUGGGAUCUAUGUACCUCUAGGUGUUGUUGACAGCUGGCCUUUACAAACUGGUCACCAUCAUCAAACCUUGUUAAGGUUAGUUUUAGAAGUGCUCAGUUGCCUUGUAGUCAUUCCUAGGUUUUAGAUAUGAAGAAGUGCUUGAAAUGAAAAGACUAAAGAGUGCAUAGGUUGGUGUUAUUCAAAAGUCUGCUUGCUGAUGGGGAAUCACUUGGAGAGCCUCGCUCAGUAGUACUCUAAGCAGUCUUGCGCUUAUGUCUACACUGAAAUACUUGUCCUCAUCCAGCACCCUUAACACUGUGUAGUGCAUUCAACACCUACAAGUGUCUGCAAGACUAAUAUCCCUCAGUCAACAAUUCUAGCGAGUCUGUUCAGUCAUUUCUAGAAGAUUGUUUAAUAAAUAUGGAUAGAGUCUGCUGUGCUUCUAGUUUCAGCGUCUGGAUUUAGAUACCUUCAUCAUAGUACCACAACACCUUAUUAGGUGGUGAUAAAUACUGUAAUCGAGGGGAUAUUCAUUCAUGUCAGUUUUGAAGGAUGAACAGCUUGCUUUCUAGCUAUUAAAUACAAACAAACACAGUUGAAGUCUCUCGUGUUAAAACUUUGGCUGUGUGCGAACUUUCCUUCCUUCAGCUAUCCCAGCUCACAGCUUAUGAGCAAAUGCCAAUUCCCACAGAGGUGGUGCAAGGAAGGGAUAUGCUGUACUGAACAUGCACUUCUCUGAAAGUAACCGUAAUGGAAAAUACUUCACAUGGUACAAUCUAGUACGGAAUACAGCAUUUAAAUUCAUUUCCCCAUUCCUGAGUUCCAGAACUUGUCUAGAGCACAGUGUAUUACUCUUCUGGUUUACUUUUCCAUGUCCUUCCCACAAGGAUCAAUUGUACAGAGGAGAUAAGGUACACCAAGAAUCUGCUUUUAAUGCUUGACUUUUUCUACUCUGUAGAUGUGGGGAGAGGAAGAGGCUUUUCAGGAGAAAUGUUACAAAAUACUGAAAAGCUAUUUCUUCAAUUUGCCAACCCUGUAUUUCUCACUUGCACUGUUCGUAGUCCCUAUAGCUUGUGCUUUGUGUUGGCGGACUUCAUUAGACAUAAGAACACAAGGGAAUGAAUAUAUAUUUAAAAAAAAAAAAAGAAUGGCUGAAAAGAACAAAUAUCUCUUGGCUCCUGUAGGUGUGUUCAAACCAUCUGCUGCUCACGUUUAUCAGUGCUGAAGGUUGCAGUCAAAGUCAAUUUGGUGAAUAAAGUUCAGGCUAGAGAUUGCUGUGGGGUAAAACGAUCUUCAUUUGUUACUGACCAGUGCCUUUGGUAUUCUGUAGCUGCCACAAUACAAUUAAUGAGGUGUCAGUGGUAAGAUUUAACCUGUAAGCUACCUUUAGGUUUCAUGUGUAAAGCUGAUAAUACGGUAUCAGCAGUAUGAACAAGGCAGCUCAGCUGGUGUCUAAGCAAAAGUGGGUUGAAUAUGAGAGAUGCAAACUUCUGUCUGCAAGCUCCUGCUGCACUCAGAGCUCAGCAGGAGCUGAGACCACCUUCAUCCUUUCAUGGCAAGAUUUCUGUGUUGUUUGAAACACCUACUGAAUAGCAAAAAGUGGAAAGGAAGCAGUGGGUCACUGAUCCUGACUGAUUUCAAGGACCAAAUACUUCAUUGUAACUCCGGAAAGAACACUGACCUGCAAGCUGAAAACUUUAUGGACUCCAUUUUCCUAGAACAAGAAGUACCAGCAGAACAGCCAAACCAAAAUAAAUAACUUAUUUUUUCCUUCCUUCCCAAGUACCUUGUUACUGGAAGAAUCAAUAUUCUAUUCUAUUCCUGACUCUUAUUGGAUUUUUAUAAAUACAUAUUCCUAUAUAACUUUAAGCCAACAAUAGAACGAAGCCAUAGCUCAUCAGUUGCAUUUAUAACUGCUUCUGAGAUGUAUGAAAAUGAACUGAAGUUAGUAAAUUGCUUGGAGAUUCUUGGGUGCAGUUCCUUAUUUUGCUCCCCAUGUUUCUGUUGUAGCAGUUGUCAGCUGCUCUCAGAAGCACGUAGAUCCGGUGUACAGCUCUGCACUACUUUGGGGAUGAAUCAAAAGAUGACUUUUCAAAUGUUCUUGAAGUCCAUUGUUUGCACAAGAAACAGUCCUCUGCACCGCUGCUCAAUGAGCUGUCAGGAAAAUUACUACACAGAUAAUAAAUUAUAAAGAUCUGUCACAAAAUGCAGCAUGCUUGAAUAAUUUUCAAAACUAUUAAUAAAUCCCGAGUAGUUGAAACAACUGUCUCUGUUCUUUCUCACCAGAGACAGCUGAUUGAAAUGUAGUCAGCACUGAACGGCUUGACAUGGUUGAGCUCCACUCAGAUACGGGCACAUGACUGAAAAAGAGGGAAGAGGAAACUUGAGGUUCUAGUGGUUUCAUUUCUUGGAAGUUUAAACUCGGGUUUCAGCACACGGCAUUUCCACUGUUUGGGCAGAAAAAUGGCCAGGGACAAUUCUUGACCUAUGAGCUGAAUCACAAUGAGCGGAAGGUAUGUGUUUUUCAGGAUGAGUUAUUGAAGUUAAAAGUGAGUAUUCAAGUCAUAUCUGAUUACCAUUGUUCAUAUUCUAAUCCCGAACUACCAACAAGUCUCAGUGUCCUUAAGUUUUGAGUAUGUUUGUGUAGUUACACAGUGACUUACACCUUGCAGCCUGCUUGGUUUGCAUUCUGGGUAUGGCUUAAUGUUCAUGGUCACGGAGAGCAAGCACGCCCUUGGUCCUGCUCCAAAUUCUGCCCAUAAACCAGGUGCUCAGCUGUGGUUUAGAGACCUGUAAUUCUGUGCUGGGGUCACCAGGACUUCUUGGUUGCAAUUGUUCAACUCUGUAAUAAGAGAAAUAAAACCAACAAAUGUCGCUAUGUGUUUUUGAAACGCCUUCAUCGGUUGUGUACCCGAAGGUUUUUGCCCUAGGCUAACAAAUGUCAAAGCAAUCUGUUGGGUAAACUUCUGCAAACAAGUCGGUGUUGAAUAACAGGGUUCAGACAAUUGCUUAGACGUAGGCUAAAGAGAUCUGCAGAGCUUCUUGGUGGUGACCAGUGGUCAUGGCAAUGAACGCCUUGUACUUGUAGAUGGGACAGGAGACAUUUAGAGGAGUAACAACCAAUCAAAGCUUUGAACUCCAAAACCUUGUAUUACUACACGCAAUACCUGUAAGGUCAGGGGAAAGGGUGUUUUAAUGCGAAUGGAAGGACUACUUUUUCAUGUGAUUGGGUCUCCUUGGGUCUGAUGCUCCUUCCGAUUUCCUUCCUUGUGGCCCUGGAAGACGUGCUGUAGGAAGCAGUCUACGCAGAGAGGUGGUCUGGAUGUUAAUGCCUUACUUGUUGCACCUCUGAAAGAUUGCUGAAUCUGUGGCUUUGUGUUGCUCUACUCUGGACAAGGUUUGUUAGCAACCAAUUAAGUUAUAUUUUUCCAGUAGUUGUACUGCAAGGAAAGAAA